GACUCCAUGUGAGAUGAUGAAUGUUGCGGAAGCUUUUCAAGAUGAAGAUACGUGUUUUGAUGGUGUUGGAUGGUCUAGGUAGAAGUCCUUCUAGGAGGUGAGGCCAACCAUGAAGGAGAAAGUAAGAAGAAGUCUAGAGAAAGACAUUUCUUAGAGUGAGAACUAAGGAGAAGGAGACUUGCAAUUUUGGCAAAGAAACUCUAGCAUUCAAAAUAGUUCUAAAAAAUUAUACAAGGUUGCCUCUCCUUUUAUAGGUNNNNNNNNNNNNNNNNNNNNNNNNNNNNNNNNNNNNNNNNNNNNNNNNNNNNNNNNNNNNNNNNNNNNNNNNNNNNNNNNNNNNNNNNNNNNNNNNNNNNNNNNNNNNNNNNNNNNNNNNNNNNNNNNNNNNNNNAUAUUCACCUACAUCAAGGUUUAUGGUGCACUACUUCACUCUAAAAGCUACUAAGCUUCUAAAACAAAGCUAAAGAAAAUUUUUACAUAUUUACAGAGAUAAAAGAAGAAGACUAGUAAGUGAUUCUCCAAAAGAGUAAAAUCCUUCAAUUUCCAUCUUCUUCUUCCAGCCUUAGCUUAAGUUGAUGCUCCCCUCACGAAUCUCCAUUUAGUUCCCAAAACGGAUUCCAUCAUACCUUCCCUCUUGAAAACGAUCUGUCCUCAGAUCGGAAAGAUAUUUGAGGAAGCACAACUUUGGUUUAAUGAUCUCCUCCUGGAUCAAAAAUGUACCUACAACAAAUAACAAAUAGGAGUAUUAUUAAAAUAAUAGACCUAAACAAAGAAACAAAGAAAGAAAGUCUUUUGUUUUUNGAAAAGGUUUUAUGAAGAAGGGUGUUGGCCUUUAUUUGAAAAAGUUGGUGUAUUGACAAAAGCAUAUACAAAAGAAGAAAGAAAUAAGGCCUUUUAUUUUUGAAAAUAUUUUCUNGAAGAAAAUUUAUAUUUUCUACAGAAUCUAAAACUUUUUCUUCACUAGGUGAAGAGUAAGAGUUAUCCAAGCUUCUAGUGUAUUGAUCUUUUAAAAGUAAUGUUCUUUUAGGAGGACAUUUAAAAGAAGUGUUCCUUCUCUCAAAACACUUGAUGUAUUGAACAUCUCUUGUUUUAGUUUCUUCAAAAGUUAUAAGACCUAAUUUACAAAAAUCUUUUUGUUCACCUUGAGUUAUUUGUAACUUGUGAGGUAACAACAACUCAAAAAGUGAUUUUUCAAAAGUUAUUGAGGAGUUAAAAAUAAUGGGGGAGUGAAAGUGGAGGUAAAAGACUUUCAAAAGUCAAGAUUGAAAUCAAGAAAUGAGAAUCAUUAAUAAAAGGAUAAGAGCUCAAAGUUGGGAAAAAUCCUUUUAGAACUCUUGAAUCAAUUAUGAUUGAGAGAGUAGAAGGUGCCUUGAGUAAUUCAACUUUGAGUAGGAGUUAUUCUUUGAGCAAAAUUUCUUCCUUCACUCUUUCUCUCCUCUCAAUCUCUUCUUUCUCUUUCUUUUGUUUCUCCUCCCUUUCUCUUCUCUCAUUUUCUUCUUUCUCUUUCUUUUCUCUUUCCUCCAUUUCUCUUUUCUCUUUUUCUUCUUUUUCUUUCUUUUCUCUCUCCUCCCUUUCUCUUCUAGCUUCCUCCUCUCUAAAUUUUUUCUCUAAUUGUAUUUGUUCCUCUUUCUUCCUUUCCAUUUCUCUUCUUUCCUUAUCCCUCAAGAGCUUCUCUUGUUUCCCUUCAAUCUCUUUCUCUUUAAGAAAAAACUCUUUUUCACCUCUAAUACAUUCUCUAUCUUUCUCCAUGAGUUCUCUCUUUUCAUGUUUAAGCUNUUGAUUUCUCUUGAAAGAAGGUGGAACAAAUUUUCUUCUCAUACAAGCUUUUAGAUCAGUCCAAUCUCUAAUUGGUGAUUUGAUACCACUUUUAACAUCAUUUUGCCUUUGAUACCACCAAUCAUAUGCAUGGCUCUCAAAUCUAGAAGAACACAACCAAAAUAUGUGAAACUUACUGCACUUAAUGAUGAAUGGUUGAAGUUUUUCAAUAUUUUCUUCCCAAGCUAAGUAUGACAUCAGAUCAACUUGUCUACUAAAAUGUGGAAUAUUCUCAGCUCUUAAACACAACUCAUUCUCAGUCUACUUAUAAUAGAAAUGAUCAUGAUCCCAAAACCUAUCAUCCAAACUAGAAUGGUAGAAGUUUUCUUUGUGGUAACUAUUUUGAAGCUCAUUUCUACCAUGAGAGGUGGAUGUUUCUAUAGUGUACCUUCUUCUAUUGGAUGACUCAUCUUGUUGUUUUUCUCUCCUUUUUUCCAUCAUAAACUCAGUAAACAUACUCUCUAACUUGUUUACUUUUUGUGUAAGUUCAUACCUAAGAUGUAAGUCCUCUUGACUAUCCCUAACACUCCCAUGAACACUUGAAUGAGAAUGAUCACUCAUGUUGUAAAGUUUAAAAUAUUUUCAAAAAGGUUUUCAAAAUACUUUACAACUAUGAGUGAGAAAGGUUUUCACAAUUAAACUUUUUGUUUUUGAUGGAUGAUUUCAAAAGAGAAACAAUAGAAUAAGAAUCUUCCAAGUAGCUCCCAGGAAAGAGAGGUGAGUCACAAUGAACAAGCUUAGAAACCAAGUCUUUCCUAGACAGAGUGUCCUUGAGUUAGCCUUACCUAAGCUUCUAAGAAGAAAUCUUCCAAAACUUUUUUUUUUUUAAAUGCAAAUGCAAAGAAUGCUCCUAAAACCAAAGAAAGGUUUAUAUAAGAUGCUUUCAAACAACCUAAGUACCACAGAGACUUAAAAGAUAAACAAGACAAUGUAUAAAAGGAAAAUAAAAAGAAUUGAAUGCUAUGUAAACAAGUAAACUAACGGUCCUAUGUAAAGAUGCAAAUGACACUUAAGAGCCACUUGACACACCUUCACUUCUAAGAGUGGAAACUAAACUAUUACACAAUUUUAGCAAUGGAGAUGAGAUUGUACCAAAGACAUUUUCCCAAGACACCAAGCAAAUAGAAAAUGAAAUCAACUAAAAAAAAUUACAAGAACACAAAGGUUUCGUGAUACAAAAUUAAUAGCCAAUAAAAGUGCUAAAACAGCCCCUAAUUCCUUGCUUCUUUCAAGUGUUUGUCCUCUCUUGAUUCACUCCAAAACAAUGUAGUUAUCUCCCUCCAAAGUCCAAGGAGAAAUGCUUCUUUUAGCCUUCUUUUUAGCCUUCAAAAAUGCUACCUUCAAGGUUAGUCAAUCUCCAAAAAGAACCACCAACCAAAUCUGUUUUUCCAACACCAAAGAGGCUAAAAAUAAAAGCAAUAAAAGCACAAUUUGAAAAGCUAAACUCAAAUGGAGUAAAAGAAGACAAUACUUCAAGGAAAGCCAAGAAUGACAAGCAAAAAAUUAAGGCAAGUCAAAUAGAAAGACAUUCAAAUGGAAUUCCUAAAGAAAGGUGCUAGAAUAGAUGAAUAAAACCAAACUAAAACUAAGAAUACAAGACCAACCAGAUUAGCCAAGGCAAAACACUUGCUGGAAAAAUGCAAACAACACUUAAAAUUCAAGUCCAAAAUUGAGUUUCUUGUUGUUGUUGUGUCCUUUUCUUUUGCAAUUUUUUUUUCACUUCUUUUGUCCCUUUUUUUUUUUUCUUUUGUUUUUGAUUGAGGGAUCUUUUGUUUUUAUCACUUAAUUUUUCAGAACACAACAAGCAUCAUAAUAUUUGCACAACUCAUUCAAAAACAAGGCUAAUUCAAGUGUGUACGAAGGGAAUCCUAAGGAAUCAAAUGAUCUUUGGAGAACUAAAAAAAAAGACUCAAUAAAAACCUAAUACUAAGAAAUUGUUUAGGAACUAAUAACAAGUAUGAAUACACUCAUAAAGCUCAAAGAAAACCCAGAAAAACCCAAAGCACAAAAAUCCGAAAUUUCACGCUGGAACUGGACAACUCUGACCUUUGCUCAAUGUUUUACCCAUAAUUUUUUCUAUAAAACUCUAAAUGAGAUGAGGUUUUUUUUUUCUGGAACGUAGACUCAAAUCUAUUUCUUUUGACAUAUAAAACGUAGAGUUCGGACCUCUGGUCGGGUUGCAGUUAUUUUUUUAAAAUCGAGUCCAGAGAGCAGUUUGCACCAGAUUUCAGAGAAUGGGUAGGUUUGAAGUUUUCAAUGUUUUCAAUUUUUCUUUCAAGUUCAAAAAAGAUGUGAUGACAUAUAUGGAUAUACAAGACUUAGGAAAAAACAAUAGGAUCAUAAAAUCAUAGAAAAUGAAUCAAAAGAUGACCCAAACCCAUGACACAAACCCAUAAACUCUGUACACAUACAAAUAGAAAAAUUGGAAAUCCUUGGCACACAACAUGGAUGAUUCAAGAAGAACAAUUAAUUUGAAUUAAUAUUUCAAGACAUACAACACAUACUCAUGACUCAAACAACAUAUUAGACAUGUUGGAAAAGAUGAAACAACAAGGAAUUCACAAGAACACAAAUGGGUAAGAACUUUGAGACACUUAUCUCUUGAAGACUUCUAAGAUAGUGACCAUAGCUCUUGAUACCAAAUGAUGGAGGUUGCUUUGAUGAUGCUUCUUCAACAAGAGAUGCUCUCCAAGGUGUGUUGAUGAAGCUCUUCAAAGGAUGGACUCCAUGUGAGAUGAUGAAUGUUGCGGAAGCUUUACAAGAUGAAGAUAUGUGGUUGAUGAUGUUGGAUGGUCUAGGUAGAAGUCCUUCUAGGAGGUGAGGCCGACCAUGAAGGAGAAAGUAAGAAGAAGUCUAGAGAAAGACAUUUCUUAGAGUGAGAACUAAGGAGAAUGAGACUUCCAAUUUUGGCAAAGAAACUCUAGCAUUCAAAAUAGUUCUCAAAAAUUAUACAAGGUUGCCUCUCCUUUUAUAGGUGAAGGAGUAGGCUAGCAUUCAAUGCACUAGAAAGGAACUAAA
This 4833-nucleotide long non-coding RNA is filed under the name Vigna radiata. Its description in RNAcentral is "long non-coding RNA (VRAD_LNC013271)". Lineage: Eukaryota; Viridiplantae; Streptophyta; Magnoliopsida; Fabales; Fabaceae. The record is from RNAcentral.